Molecule: non-coding RNA, 82 nt
Organism: Edaphobacillus lindanitolerans
Lineage: Bacteria; Bacillati; Bacillota; Bacilli; Caryophanales; Bacillaceae
Source: Rfam
UGCGGUGUGGCGGAAUUGGUCAGCGUAGACGACUCAAAAUCGUGUUCCUUACGGAGUGUCGGUUCGACCCCGACCACCGGUA